UCUCCGUUGGUGAACCAGCGGAGGGAUCAUUACAGGACUCGCAAGACUCCUACAACCCUGUGAACUUAACUAUAAGCACGUUGCUUCGGCGGGUGUCUCGGAGGGGGUUCUCCCUCCCCGAGACGCUAAACCCGCCGGCAGCCUACUAUACUCUGUCUCUUUGCGUUGGCAUCUCGAGUACAAUCAAACAAGUUAAAACUUUCAACAACGGAUCUCUUGGUUCUGGCAUCGAUGAAAACGCAGC
RNAcentral lists this unclassified non-coding RNA (244 nucleotides) under plant metagenome. RNAcentral's name for it is "partial contains small subunit ribosomal RNA, internal transcribed spacer 1, and 5.8S ribosomal RNA". The record is from RNAcentral.